RNAcentral lists this transfer RNA (74 nucleotides) under Candidatus Shapirobacteria bacterium CG_4_10_14_0_8_um_filter_39_15. RNAcentral's name for it is "tRNA-His". It matches the Rfam family "tRNA". From Rfam's summary of the family: Transfer RNA (tRNA) molecules are approximately 80 nucleotides in length. Their secondary structure includes four short double-helical elements and three loops (D, anti-codon, and T loops). The record is from RNAcentral. Lineage: Bacteria; Candidatus Shapironibacteriota. RNAcentral also lists the same sequence under 1 other name.
GUGGUUGUAGCUCAAUGGCAGAGCGCCAGUUUGUGGAACUGGAUGUUGCGGGUUCAAUUCCCGUCAGCCACCCA